GACGAACGCUGGCGGCGUGCCUAAUACAUGCAAGUUGAGCGCUGAAGGUUGGUACUUGUACCAACUGGAUGAGCAGCGAACGGGUGAGUAACGCGUGGGGAAUCUGCCUUUGAGCGGGGGACAACAUUUGGAAACGAAUGCUAAUACCGCAUAAAAACUUUAAACACAAGUUUUAAGUUUGAAAGAUGCAAUUGCAUCACUCAAAGAUGAUCCCGCGUUGUAUUAGCUAGUUGGUGAGGUAAAGGCUCACCAAGGCGAUGAUACAUAGCCGACCUGAGAGGGUGAUCGGCCACAUUGGGACUGAGACACGGCCCACACUCCUUCGGGAGGCAGCAGUAGGGAAUCUUCGGCGAUGGACGAAAGUCUGACCGAGCCACGCCGCGUGAGUGAAGAAGGUUUUCGGCUCGUAAAACUCUGUUGAUAGAGAAGACCGUUGGUGAGAGUGGAAAGCUCAUCAAGUGACGGUAACUACCCAGAAAGGCACGGCUAACUACGUG
This 497-nucleotide ribosomal RNA is filed under the name uncultured bacterium. RNAcentral's name for it is "partial 16S ribosomal RNA". It matches the Rfam family "Bacterial small subunit ribosomal RNA", at positions 28 to 507 of the family's 1533-position model. The record is from RNAcentral.